RNAcentral lists this non-coding RNA (34 nucleotides) under Alexandrium minutum. Lineage: Eukaryota; Dinophyceae; Gonyaulacales; Pyrocystaceae. The record is from RNAcentral.
UUUUUUUUUUUUUUUUUUUUUUUUUUUUUUUUCC